AUGGCAUUGCCGCUGCCCUCCGCGGUCUUCCUCCUGCUCCUCGUGGUGGCCUCGCCGGUGCUCUGCGCCGCGCAGAGCCCCAUCUCGCAGCCGCCGUCGCCCGGCGCGCCCACCGCGUCCCCGCUCCUCCGCCCCGACGCCGACUCCGACGAUGACAACGGAUCCUCUGUGCCCCCCUCCCUGGCCCCGGCCCCCGCGGGCUCCCCGGGCGAGGACAAGGCGGCGGCGGCGUCCCCUCCCGCGCCCACCGACACGUCCCCGCUCCCGUCCCCCGCCGAGGCCCCCUCCUCCGCGGCGCACUCGCCGGCGCCGGCGCCGUCGACGUCCCUGCACUCCGCCGCCUCCACCCCAUCUCCCGCGCCUGUCCCUGCCGCCGACAAGGAAGGCGACGACGACGACGAUUCCAAGGAGAAGAAGAUGAACGCCCCAGCGCCGGCCCCGGCCGCGAUGGAGGUGAAGGCCAACACGGGCGGCGCCGACGAGCAGCGGGCGGUGGACGCGGAGAGGCGGCACGGGGAGGGCGAGAUGAACGGCGGGACGAAGGCUGGCGUGGUGGUGGGAGUGUUCUCUGCGACGGCGGUGCUGUGCCUGGCCGCCGUGGUGUACCGGAAGCGGCAGGCCAACAUCCGGCGGUCCAGGUACGCGGACUACUCGGCGCGCCUCGAGCUCGUCUGA
Molecule: ribosomal RNA, 675 nt
Filed under: Triticum aestivum (bread wheat)
Lineage: Eukaryota; Viridiplantae; Streptophyta; Magnoliopsida; Poales; Poaceae
Description: partial small subunit ribosomal RNA
Source: RNAcentral